GCUUGGGUAUGUCCUUAUCAGCAGCAUGAAAAUGGACUAAUACAAAUAUGCUGAGUUAAGUCCUGGACAAGUUUAGAUCAGGGGUCCAGAACCCCCAGCCAUGGACCACUACUGAUUUGUGGCCUGUUAGGAACUCAGUUGCAGUAGGAGGUGAAUGGCAGAUGGAACUGUGCAGUUGCAGGAAAACAAGCUCAGGGCUCCCGCUGAUUCUACAUUUUGGUGAGUUGUAUAAUUAUUUCAUUUUAUAUUGCAAUGUAAUAAUAAUAGAAAUAAAGUACAAAAUAAAUGUAAUGCACUCGAAUUAUCCCAAAACCAUUCCCCCCACUGCGCCCAGUCUGUGGAAAAAUUGUCUUCCAUGAAACCAGUCCCUGGUGCCAAAAAGUCGGGGGGCUGCUGAUUUAGAUCACAUUGGUUUCAAGUAAUGAGGAUUAAACUAAGUAAGCCAAAGGAGAGCAUUUAUUUUAAAUAUACAUGAAUAUAAUAUUAACCCCAAAGAGAAGGGAAGAUAAGAAAACAGCAACUGAAAAGUCUUCAGAAUUUUUUUCUUCAAUUAUAUAUUCCUCUGAGAAUUUGUUUCAUUUGUCACUGUCAUUGCUAUCACUGUUCUCUGAAGACUGACUCUCUUGCUAUUUAUUUUGUAAAAAUAUGGCUUCCUAAUAUACUUCUUUUCAUAUUGAGAUGAGAGGUUUUCCUGACUACCUCUCUUGCAGAACAUGUGACAGGGAUAUGCUUCACCUGUUCAGCCUCCGUGUGCACUCAAACCCUUUACAAGAAGGGGAGCACAGAGAUGGGUAAGGUGCAGGAGCUGGGGAAAGUGCCCCAGUGCUCCUGGGUGCCAGCCCUGUGGCAGCAUCCAGGAGUGGGAGCCCAUGACCCCCAAAGCCCACGUGGGCAUGUGUUACAGGGUGUUUUUUAAGCCUUACUUUCUGUGGACAGCUUAAGUGUUAAACAGCUCAGUGCCUUCUUGGUACCCAGGUCCUUGUCCAGCAUCCAAGAAGAACUGGGUUACAAAUGGACUUAAAGGAUGAAUGUGGUGGUUUUACUCAGUGCUGGAGGUGACUCUCAGCAGGAUGGAUGGGGAGAUGGAAGGGGUUUGGAGUGGAAAGAUGAUCUUCACCUGGAGUUUGGCCAUGGAGCCGCCAAUCUCCUCUCUGAUCAUCCCCAGCGAAACUCCUCUUGGUAUUCAGCCACUCCUUCUCUUCUUUCCUUCUCUGCCAUGCUGUUCUGCAAUUCUUCGCUUUUCUGUUCAUCUCCUCAUCUGCUUCUGGAGCCUGGGGUCUGGGGUUUUUAUGGGUACAGGAUAGCGGGGGUGUGUUGGGUCAAAAGGCAGCUUUUGGAUGCAAAAACAGAAAUGCCUCUUCUCACUUCAGGCCAUGGGUUUUCAGGCUUGAGGGUGGUGCCUUUUCUGAGGAACUGCCCUCUUCUACACAGUAUUUCCUCUCUCCUGUCCGUGUCAACAUGCAGACACUGAAGAGCUAUAAAAUCCAUGUACAAAUGUCUGGGAGAGAGAAUCUUGUUGGCCUAUCUUGAGUUGGUAUCUGUUUCCUUGGGUAUUCAAUGAAAACUGAGUGACAAAGUAUAAUUCCGGCUACCAGGAGCUAGCCCUGUGAAUCAGAAAUCCAUUAAAAGUGUUUAACAGAAACUGGGCAAAUGCUUCCCUCCUCCACAUCAAAAAUAAAUUGGAACCUUUGGCAGAAACUACUAAUUAACUAUCACCCACACCCUGGGCACAUAGAGUAAAACACUACUCCUUCUACAACAAAGAGGAUUAAUUUUCCCGUAUUAAAAGGUGUAUAUUCUUUUCCAGCAAAGCUCUAAAGCCUACACACUCAAAGGUCAGACACAUAAUGUAGUUGAGGACCUAGUUGAAGAAUGCCUGAUAUAAAUCAUAUGAGCAAUUAGGAGGAGAAGGAGGAUGGUGUAUACAUGGGAGCUCAAAGGGGCCUGCAGGUUAGGAGAUAGCCUGUCCUGAGCUCUAGCCCAACUAUUGCCCUCCAGGAAUGCAAACUGUGUCACCAGACCUUCCGAUUUUUCUGGAGACUCCUGGAUUCAGAUCCUUACAUUAAAUUUUUGUAUUUAAAAAUGAUAGGGAAUCAUUCAAAUAAAAGUUAUUAGGUGUGAAAGGAAAAUAAAUAUUAAAGCCCCCAAACACUAAGCUAAAAUGAAAGUCAAGCUGGGAACUGCCUAGGGGCAAACCUGCCUCCUAUUCUAUUCAAAGUCAUCCCUCUGCUCACUGAGAUAAAUGCAUAUCUGAUUGCCUCCUUUGGAAAGGUUAAUCAGAAACUCAAAAGAAUGCAACCAUUUGUCUCUUAUCUACCUAGAACCUGGAGGCCCCCUUCUGAAACAAGCCAAUUGUCAUCUUACAUAUAUUGAUUGAUGUCUCUUGUCUCCCUAAAAUGUAUAAAACUGGGACGUGCACAGUGGCUCACACCUGUAAACCCAGCACUUUGGGAGGCCAAGGUGAGUGGAUCACCUGAGGUCAGAAGUUUGAGACCAGCCUGGCCAACAUGGGAAAACCCCGUCUCUACUAAAAAUACAAAAAUUAGCCAGGUGUGGCGGCGGGCGCCUGUAGUCUCAGCUACUUGGGAGGCUGUGGCAGGAGAACCACUUGAACCUAGGAGGUGGAGGUUGCAGUGAGCUGAGAUCACACCACUGCACUCCAGCCAGGUGACAGAGUGAGACUCCGUCUCAAAAAAAAAAAAAAAAAAGUAUAAAACUAAGCUUUGCAUCUACCACCUUGGACACAAGUCGUCAGGACCUGCUCAGACGUAUCAUAGGUGCACAUCCUUAACUUUGGAAAAAUGAACUUCCUAAAUUGACUGUGACCUGUCCCAGAUAUUCAGGGUUCACAUAGGUAAACAAUAAUAUGUUUGGGAUCUGAAUGUAUCUCAGUGCCACUAGUUUUUGAACUCUGAUCUACAUGCUUAUUAAGCAAAUGAUAGAAUGAAUGAAUGAAUGAAUUACAUUGUUUUGAUAGUCUUGAUUGCUUAUCUCCACAGAAAUGCUGACCAAAUCCUCCUGAAAUGUUCAUACCUUAGGGUGAACUUUUAAAGUGUAACUAAAAGUCUCAGCAGGUGCAAAGGGGUAAAUUUACCUGCCAGAGUAAGUUUAUCUCUUACAUAAACGUGUUUUUUUCCCUAACACACUUGGCUACUGUGUGUAAUUCAACAUAGGUUAACCUAUUGAUUAUAGGCCAACCAAUACAAAUCCAUGGCCCAUCGCAAUGCUUACAGACAUAGGACUGUGAAAGAUUAUUAAAAAAAAAAAAAAGUAAGUCCUGCUAGGGGAAACAAAUGGAAUAGAAUUGGUGCCAAAUCUUUAGCAAACUGCUCCAUAGGCCAUAAAGGCAUGAAUAGUUUCAUGACUGUUCCAAUAGAUGUCAGCUAAGUGCCACCUGAGCUGUUCUGACAAAGCUAAAAUGGUAUGUCACAGCUUCAUGUUUCACCUACAAACUAGAACGGUGCUGAGAAAGCAUCUACCUACUAUAUAAAAGCUAAGAAAUACAUCUACUUUGAGUAAUAGAGGACAGUUGAUAUUUCAAAGGAUGGCAUACUUGGGAUACUGUCAAAUAAAAUAGCUUGGGUAACUUCCUUGUAAGAUUCCUACUCUUGCAUAGCCAAGAGGUUGACAUAUUGUAACAAAGCUUUCAUUUUAAUUACCAGUCAGAUCUCACAGGACAUUAGCAUUUAACCCAUGAACAAUGUAGCUCUUAAAAAAUGUUUCCCUUUGGGAAUACAUCAUUUAAUUCCUAGCUGACACCUUCUCUGUACUUCAUGAUAAGAGAAAUGGCAUCGCUAAUGAGCAUACUUGUACCACGUCUCGUAGGAUCUGACGCCAGCUCCCUGAUACCUCACACACGUCUCAACGUGAUGAUCCAAAUGGGUGAGGUGGCUCUGGGGAGAAGCUCUAUUUAAGGAAUCACCAUUUUUUUCUGUCAUUUUUCUGUCUUUGAGAUUAAGAAAUAUCCAUCACACAGAAAUCAUAUUGAUACCUGUGCAUGUCAAUAAUGUCUCCUCAUUAUCAGCUACCUCAACUGCACAUAUUUUGGUGUGACUGUCAAGUUUCUUGUAUUCUUUCCCAGGCUGACUGACUCAGUGUCUCAGUCCUCUCACCCCACUGUCUUUGGGAAUGUUGCUCAUAUUUUCAUCCUUACAAUAUCUUCUUUCCCUAAUCCAAUCCAAUUUCAGUGCAACAAACAUUUUGAAUGGACAUUCCAUAAAAUUUGAGUAUGACUUUCUCUUUGCUAAUUAAUUGCAUAUCUGUCAUUUAAGGUCCCACUCAAGUCUCAUGUCUUCCAUGAAGUCUCCUUCCGUGGAGCUUGAUUGUUUUCUAAGUAAUGCCUCUUAAUUCUCCCUCUCCACUGCUUCAGAAUCCAACUGAUACGUUUUCUCCUCUGGUUCUUCUGUGUUACUCAUUUAGGCUACAGGGCCUGAACUACUAUCCACUUCCUCCGUUAAAUAUUCUCUUGAUUCUACCCUCACUUGAUUUAUUUUCUCUGAUUUCUUCUCAUACUUAUAUUUAUAUUUAUAAUAUGCCUAUUUACAUAUCAACUAUAUCUAUACCUUGGUAUUUCCUUGAGAGUAGGCUAUAUCUCAUAGCUUUUCAACCCGUAAAAGGAGAAAAGAAGGUGCACAAAACAUACUAAGCAAUUAAACAAGGAAGAAAAGGAAAAGAGAAAAAAGAGUACGAGGAAGGACAAUUUUUAGAGAUUCCAGAAAUUUAAAUGUCUCUAUCAUCAAUACUAUCUGAGUCUCAUUAUUAGUCUGUCACUUCAAACUUACGUAUAAGAAAAAAUGAAAAUGGUGUUACUUGAUUCUUAGAUAAAGCCUGAGUUAAAUGUGCAUUAAGCCAUGUUCAAAUUUACUAAGGUUUUAAUUUCCAAAUUAAUUUGACAUUUUCACUAUUGCAUGUUUCCAAUGUGCAUAUUAGUCUAUAGAUUAAUUCUUGCUGUCUUGUUUAAGUAGGUUGGUUUUCAGGAUAUCACUUGUAAUACUUGGCUAGGCUAUGCAAUGAAAUUUAUGAUCCUGGUUUUCUGGGUUGAGAACAUUAAUAUUUUUAUUUAAUUUAGCUUCUGUCCCUAAAGAGUGCUCAGAAAACGAAGCACUUUUUUAAAAUUUAAGUUUAUUGCACCUAUAUUCAUCUCAUUUUAUGAGAAUAUUACAGGUCAGCAAAUUACAUUUUAGUUGCACUUUUCUAGUGUCAUAUUAUUUUCAAUAAUCAAUAAUUAUAUUAGAAGAGAUGUAUAACUAAUUUUUUAUUUGAGGAGGUAAAGGAAUGUUUCAAAUGUAUUGGAUAAAAACUUAGUUCGGCUGACAUUUGUUAAGUUCUUGGCCUGAUUAAACAUAGCAGCUGUCAGUUUCACAAAAGGAGAAAUGAACAUUGAAUAUAUUUGAAACUGCCUAGAGUGUGGCAUUAAUAACAUUUUUCUUCUUUGUUUGCUUUUAAACGGUUUUUUGCUCAAAAAGCUGGAAAAGACAAGUGUUCUGAUGACAGGUUUGUAAAGGGUUGCUAAUUGUGUGGUUGAUAACAGUGUGGCAUUUUUUUUUUUUUUUACAUUAGAGCCUUAGAGUCUCCUACUGAGAUAAUACCAUCAUUCAAGUCUUCUUGAUUGCCAUAUGUUUAAAGAGCUCACUAUAGUUCUGGAUCCUGCUUUUUGAAUGUUAUAUGAAAUGAAACUGGGUCCUGGGUUACACAUUUCUACAAAUUGGUAAAUUUGUUAGUCUAUUUUCCAUGCUACAUUUAUUAUCUCUCUUACUAUUUUCAUUUAUAGUACUUGAAUUUGACAUGAAGAAAUACAUUUAUAAAAUUCUAUUCUGAGGAUCUAGGAGUUUGAUUAUAUGCAUUUGCUCCCAAAAUUUCAGUAAAGUCAUCACAUUACCUUUACACUAAAAUAAUUCCAAAGAUAAAUUAAGUAAAGUAUCUACUGGCUGAGAGGAGGGCCUUUUUGGUCUGUUUGGUAUUGCUAUAACAGAAUAACUGAGACUGACUA
Molecule: long non-coding RNA, 5989 nt
Organism: Gorilla gorilla gorilla (western lowland gorilla)
Lineage: Eukaryota; Metazoa; Chordata; Mammalia; Primates; Hominidae
Exons: 3
Source: RefSeq, a predicted model, not a curated record